GAAGAUCUGCUUCCUUGCCUUCGACAGCUGACGAUUUCUCACUGUCGUCUCGUCGGUCCUUCGACUUGCAUCGUCAAAGAUUCCGAAGCUAAGCGGCUGCACCAAUACGAAACAAGUGAUCCUUGAGGCACAAGCAGAGCCCGAAUGCAGAUGCACCUAAACAGCUUGGAGAAGGGAAAUAAUACAUUACAUCAAGUUGAAACGAGCAUCUUCUGUCCUUACACAUCAUUUGUAUUGCUCGUUGGAUUUAGCCAUGGUUGCAAGCAGUACACAAAACUCAUCUUAGAUCUGGUAAGAACUGCUCUCACCAUCACUGUAUCAUCAUCAUCAUCUUUCAGGUCAGACUCCCUCGCUCGAGUUUCAUUUCCCCUAAUCAGAUCUUCUAUGCAAAUAAUUGCACUAGUACAGCUCGCAGGAUAGUCAUAGGGACAGCAGCUGAUCUUCUUACUUUUCUGCAGAUAUACUGAGGGAACUGUCGUCCAUCUUCCACAUGAACUGCUCCGAUAGACUUCUUCCGGACUUCGAGGUUAGCAUCUUAUGCUUUCGCUUCUGCCUUUCCAUCUCGAUAGCACUGUCAUCCACAGGUUUUGCUAGUAAGUAACCAUUUUUCUGAAACAUACCACCGUAAUAGGCACCUUUCAAUCAGAAACCUAACAUAUUUUCCAUCAGAUUCUUGCAAUCUCAUGCUUUAUCGAUGCAUAUAUUCAUCAGGAACACAUUCUAUGGAACCGAUCUGUUUGUAAAUAUUGUAGAAAGAUGGAAAAUCCAUGUAGUUUUGGAGUAUGAGCCUUUUUUUUCUAGGGCAUGUACUGUAAGCGACCAGUGAAACGAGUGGACAGAGGUGGCAAGAGAAGGGUAUGAAAAGCCUAAAGAUAUUAAUGUGAUACACAAAAUAGACAUUAUGAAAGGUUGGUAGAGGAAGAACAUGAGCACACACUAUUACAAAUCCAUCUCCAAAUAAAAGAUUAUGCUUAGGAUGUGAAGGAGGCUACAGACAUUGAUCGACAGUAUAAUAAUAAUAUAAAAAAUAAAAGAACUAAAUGAUGAAUAUGGAAAAAGAGAGAUAAUAGAAGAUAUUUAAUUAAAAUCGAAUUUUUACAGAGCCGGCCAAACCAAAGUUCAAACAUAUGGACCACAUCUCUAUGAACCCUACAAGUCUCUGGAAGUCAUGUGGGCACACACAGAGCAAUUAAGACAAUUAAGACAACAACGGAUGCUGUAAUCAAAUUCUCUAUCUUUAUUCUAAAAGGAAAAAAAACUUACUCUGAAAUCAAAUGCAAAGGUCACAUUCCAUCUGAUCUCUCAGGAUAUGACCGAAUCCCACUGCCGUAUGCAUUAUUUCCCCGACAGCUAGUAAGUAGUCUUCUUCGUGGUGCUUAGCCACCCAAGAACUCGAGGAAGAAGACGACAAUGGCGAAGAAUAGGAGUAACAAGACGGAGCAAGUGCUUAAGAUUUUGAUUACUGUCAUCAGAGUUCCUGGCUUUGGAGUCCUGAAAGUGAGCAGCUUCACGCUGAAACUGGAUAGAAAUGCGAAGAACAUCACCAACACGCAGAGCUUGAGCUGCAAUUCACUGCCUUUUCUGCCGAUAAAUCCUGAGAAGGCGCCCAUAAGACCUCCGAAGCUGAUGGAUGUCGUGGUAGUAGCGACCUUGGAAAUGAGUUUGAGCUUGAGAUCAUGACCAACGUUGGUAGUAGUGCGCGGUCCGUGCGGCUGUUUCUGGGUGCUGUGCCACUCUAUGCAGAACCAAAGAGUGACUCCAAUAAAUGGCGUCGGCAGGAGAACCAGUACAAGGAAGACGUCAAGGAAAGCAGAAGCCGCCGUGGCGGCUAUGAGUGCCAAUGAGCCCAGCAGAGAGUAGCUGAGUGCUUUGAGGAGCUUGGUAAGGAACUCCCUGGUGCUUUGCUGCUUGAAGCUUGGUGGGACUGAGCUGAGCAGCAUCAACAGAAGGCCGAACAUGGCGGCGAAGAACAUCUGAAAGAUGCAGAUCUUCGUGUUUAUGGUAAGGGCUUGAUCCGAAUGACUUUUAGCGGUCCCAAUAAGAGUAGUUAUCAGCCCACUGAAUGCAAGGGAGACAACAGUGGAUGAGAGACCCAACGAAUGUUUCAGCUCUGAUUUAUAGCUCGCAUAUCCUGUGGAAUUCUGAUCAUGAUCAUCCCCUGCGUGGAAUAUGAAGUAGAGGAGGGUGCCGAGAAGCAAACAUCCCGGAAGCAGGGCUGCCAGAAACAUGGAGCGUUUAUGGAGGAGAGUUGAGAAACCAGCAGCUGUAAGGAUGAGGAGAGCGCAUGAAAGGACGAGGAGGAAAACGGUGGUCACAUGCUGGCCUCUGUGGACACUGUGAUCCUUGCGACUUAGCAAAUUGAUGGUGAUGAACAUUAGGGUUACUCCACAGAGAAGACUGCAGGUGGUGAGGAAGCCGCAGAUAAGAAGGUGCAAUUCGUUUGCAUGGCCUUUCAGAUCUCGCUGUGCUAUGAAAACUGCAAACACUGCCAUUAAGCUGAUGAUUAUAUCAAUGAAGGCGAACUGUAGGAUUUGCUUCAA
Long non-coding RNA from Musa acuminata AAA Group (dessert banana), 2540 nucleotides. RefSeq lists it as uncharacterized. Lineage: Eukaryota; Viridiplantae; Streptophyta; Magnoliopsida; Zingiberales; Musaceae. The transcript has 2 exons. The record is from RefSeq and is a predicted model, not a curated record.